This is a long non-coding RNA of Acomys russatus (golden spiny mouse), 763 nucleotides long. RefSeq lists it as uncharacterized. NCBI's taxonomy places the organism in Eukaryota, Metazoa, Chordata, Mammalia, Rodentia, Muridae. The transcript has 3 exons. The record is from RefSeq and is a predicted model, not a curated record.
GAAGUGGCAGUGCAGGUUCCACGAGGCUGGGAGCACUGUCACAGCACAGCCACACAAGCUUUUGGUGAGAGUUUUGUCUAUGCUGUCAUCUGAGGCCUGGGUCUAGGACCUCCAGGGGAACCGAAAAUGACCUUUAAAUAGGUGAAUUCAAAAAGGCUCCCUGGGGUGCACGCUUCCUCUGGAGAACUUGCAGCAUGAUAGAAGCCAUGCCCCACCUGCUGCAGAGGGAGAUGAAUGGGAUGCUGGGACAAACUAGGGCAACCCCACAGUAUCUUGAAGGACAACACACCCAUGAUUCUGAAAGGUAGGGCACAGGCCCAGAACCAUGAGCAAGCUCCAUGGUGGGUUUCUAAGCAUCCUGUGUUCCGGACAGUCUCCUUUUCAUGGCAGUUGUCAAGGCAACAAAAUCAAAGGGUAAACGGCAUCAGCCUCACUGGGUGUCUCAACCUUCACCUACCAACUACAGGUACUAACAGUGUCUUCUCAUGUCUGGCAACAACAUCUCAGCUCUAACCCCAGCUGCACAGACAGCAAGAUGCAGAGAUAAGCAUAGCCCUCCCAUGGCUGCUACAGACAGGGCCUCUCCAUGGGCUGAUGAAGAAUUUGGAACCCCCUAAGGUACUCUCAAGUAGAUCAACCUUUAAAAAUAAUCUGCUAUUUUUAUCCAUUCCUGCAAUUUGAGUUUAGGUGCCAGUUGAACUAAGUGCCAGCCAAAAAGUCUCCAAAAAAAUGCAGUUUCCUUUUGUUUCUAAGAUAGACUGAU